Molecule: non-coding RNA, 71 nt
Organism: Podarcis lilfordi (Lilford's wall lizard)
Lineage: Eukaryota; Metazoa; Chordata; Lepidosauria; Squamata; Lacertidae
Source: the annotation of a GenBank genome assembly
UGGAUAGCUCAGUUGGUUAGAGUGUGGUGCUGAUAAGCCCAAGGUUACAGGUUCGAUCCUAUAUGGGACAG